This 1424-nucleotide unclassified non-coding RNA is filed under the name uncultured Pleosporales. RNAcentral's name for it is "sequence contains 18S rRNA gene, ITS1, 5.8S rRNA gene, ITS2, 28S rRNA gene". The stretch from base 481 to 1424 matches the Rfam family "Eukaryotic large subunit ribosomal RNA", at positions 1 to 961 of the family's 3401-position model. The record is from RNAcentral. Lineage: Eukaryota; Fungi; Ascomycota; Dothideomycetes; Pleosporales.
GGAAGGAUCAUUAAUUACGCAAGCUAUAGCCCCUUUUGGGGUUAUUGCAUCCACCCUUUGUCUACAUGUACCUCUGUUGUUUCCUCGGCAGGCUUGCCUGCCGCCAGGAAUCCUUUAAACUCUUGUAUCUACAGUAUGAAAAUCUCUGAUAACUAUUUAAAUUAUUACAACUUUUAACAAUGGAUCUCUUGGUUCUGGCAUCGAUGAAGAACGCAGCGAAAUGCGAAAAGUAGUGUGAAUUGCAGAAUUCCGUGAAUCAUCGAAUCUUUGAACGCACAUUGCGCCCCUCGGUAUUCCGUGGGGCAUGCCUGUUCGAGCGUCAUUUACACCCUCAAGCUCUGCUUGGUGUUGGGCGUCUGUCCUGCUUUACGCGUGGACUCGCCCCAAAGUCAUUGGCAGCGGUCGUGCCAGCUUCUCGCGCAGCACAUUUGCGUUUCUUGAAGUCUGGUGGAUCAGCAUCCAGUAAGCUCUUUCAUGACUUGACCUCGGAUCAGGUAGGGAUACCCGCUGAACUUAAGCAUAUCAAUAAGCGGAGGAAAAGAAACCAACAGGGAUUGCCCUAGUAACGGCGAGUGAAGCGGCAAUAGCUCAAAUUUGAAAUCUGGCUCCUUUUAGGGGUCCGAGUUGUAAUUUGCAGAGGGUGCUUUGGCGUUGGUAGCGGUCUAAGUUCCUUGGAACAGGACAUCGCAGAGGGUGAGAAUCCCGUUUGUGGUCGCAUGCCUUCGCCGUGUAAAGCCCCUUCGACGAGUCGAGUUGUUUGGGAAUGCAGCUCUAAAUGGGAGGUAAAUUUCUUCUAAAGCUAAAUACUGGCCAGAGACCGAUAGCGCACAAGUAGAGUGAUCGAAAGAUGAAAAGCACUUUGGAAAGAGAGUCAAACAGCACGUGAAAUUGUUGAAAGGGAAGCGCUUGCAGCCAGACUUGCCCGUAGUUGCUCACCUAGGCUUUUGCCUGGGGCAUUCUUCUGCGGGCAGGCCAGCAUCAGUUUAGGCGGUCGGAUAAAGGUCUCUGUCAUGUAGCUUCCUUCGGGAAGAACUUAUAGGGGAGACGAAAUGCGACCAGCCUGGACUGAGGUCCGCGCUUCUGCUAGGAUGCUGGCGUAAUAGCUGUAAGCGGCCCGUCUUGAAACACGGACCAAGGAGUCUAACAUCUAUGCGAGUGUUUGGGUGUCAAGCCCGAGCGCGUAAUGAAAGUGAACGGAGGUGGGAACCCUUUGGGGUGCACCAUCGACCGAUCCUGAUGUCUUCGGAUGGAUUUGAGUAAGAGCAUAGCUGUUGGGACCCGAAAGAUGGUGAACUAUGCUUGAAUAGGGUGAAGCCAGAGGAAACUCUGGUGGAGGCUCGCAGCGGUUCUGACGUGCAAAUCGAUCGUCAAAUUUGGGCAUAGGGGCGAAAGACUAAUCGAACUAUCUAGUAGCUGGUUCCUGC